This is a long non-coding RNA of Brassica rapa (field mustard), 7643 nucleotides long. RefSeq lists it as uncharacterized. NCBI's taxonomy places the organism in Eukaryota, Viridiplantae, Streptophyta, Magnoliopsida, Brassicales, Brassicaceae. The record is from RefSeq and is a predicted model, not a curated record.
AUAUAUAUAUAUAUAUAUAUAUAUAUAUAUAUAUAAGUUUGUUUAGCUUGGAGAGCGAUGAUUAUAACCUCUAGCUUAAAACAUGUAUAUAUAUAUAUAUAUAUAUAUAGUGAAUAAUUUGGUCAUAUUACAUAUAUGAGUUAGAUAUUUUUAAUUAUUAGUGGGAUCAUUGAUUUUACUUUGCUUUUAAUAGAAUCUUUAGUUACAUGAGUGGGAUAGGAAAACAAAAGAUGCCAUCGUAUAUAUAGUAGCCGUAAUUCCUUUUGCAUUGUUUACCAUACUAUGUCAAAAUAUUACCUUCAAUUUUUAAUAAAGGUAACAACAAUAAAUUUAUGACAUACGUCGCAAAGGAUCUAUUGAAACUUUAGCCUUAUUCAAGUAAGUAUAAGAUCUCUGCUAUAUUAAAAAUCUUUGAUUGAAAUAUUUGAUUGAAUUUUUGUUACUAUAUAUAUAUAGUUAUUUAUUUAUUUAGACUACAACAGGAAUAAUAGAUAGCUUGGGUUAGAUAAUUAUAGUAAAAUAAAAAAUAUAGUCUAAAGAGUUCUUAAUGUUCACCAGGUUCAUUAUGCAAACAGAAAAUAUACAUAUAUUUAACGGACCAUUACUAUUCGAAUGUAGCUUAGAUUAUUUAUACUGUCAGAACUAACACACAUAUUGAUCUAGCUAUAGGUCUAGAACAAUUUUAUAUUGAAUAUGCAUGUGUCUUUAGAAGAUAACAUGAUACCAAAUAGUUGCUGUAGACGAAUGUUAAUCUAGCUGAUAUUCUAGUGAUCUAGAAAAAAUAGUUGACGUCAGUCAAAUGUUCACACAAAAUGAUUAUACAUUGAGUGAAAAAAAAACCAACCAAAUAUAUGAUUUAAUAUCUCUUGAGGUUCGACUAUCCUCAAGAACAAUAGCAGAAACUACUGAAUUGGAUGAAAUGUAUGACACAACCAUCUUCCAGUAUGCAAACGUAGUUAAUGUAAACCAAACUUGAUCUAGCUAAUAUUGUAGACGAAUGUUGACACAUAAUGAACUCCUGUGAGAUGAAUGUUUAUAUAAUGUGUUUAAAUAUCACAGACUGUGAAGAGCCUCUGCUUCUCCUCCAGAGCAGUUGCAGAGGUUUCCAAAAUUAGAUGUAAGCAUGUAUGUUUCAGCAACCGUCGAUGGAAUGGUCAAAGCUUGAGAGCUUACUACUCUGCAGAGAAGGAUAUUCUUCUGUUCUUGUUUGAUUGACCGUCUAUCACUUGGGCAAGGCCAGAGAGGUCAGAACUACAUCAAAGUUUUGCGAAGGAUAUGUUGUUGUGUGAUAAUCAAAUAAAAAGAGUUGUUUACAGUACUGAUCACAAGUAAAUUAUUUUGACAAAGAAACAAACAGAUUCUCCUCCAGAAACUUAGCAGAUAGUAUAAACAAUCUUAUUGCCUAUGGCUCAGAAGAAACUAUCUGAUUUAAACUUCAAUCUUUACCAAAGAUAUUAAUACGAAAUAAUUCCAAUGAAUAGAUAACCAGAGAGAACAAUAUCAAUGACAACAAACUGUUUUUUUUUUUGGUUUAUUUGUGCAAAAUGCACAAUGAAUAAGCAUUUUCUGAUCAAAAGUCCACAAGUACAUCUCAUGCAGGUACUUGCCGACCAUGUAGGGCUUAACAGAGUGUUCACCAGUCAUUUCUCCUUCUCAAACCUCAAAUUUCAGAACUUUCUUCUUCGUUGCAGAAGAUUGUGAACACCUUUUCAUAACCUUCCGGCCUCCACUUUGAUAGAACCAUCUUCAAGCAAACGGGGAGGAUGGAAGUUCUUGAGUUGCAAUGGAGCGGCCUUUAUUGCCGUAUCGUAACCCAUAACUUUCCAAAAUUUUGAAAGUUCAAAAACUUUGGCUUCUUCACGAGGAAUACGUGAAACAUGAAAGACUGUAUCCACGAUGUAAAAUGUUUACGUAUGUCGUUUGUUGUAGCUUUUAAUCAAAAAAGGAAACAAAAUUUUGAGGUGCUCUAUUAAAGCGACACGUCAGCGUAAGUUUUUUAAAUGAGUUUGAGAGCGACAAGUGGCGAAAGAAGUGUGAAUGCAUUAAAGUCAAUGCAUGUCUUUUAAUAUAUAAGAGCAGGUCCAUCGGGAAGUUCAAGACAAGGUUCUAAAGAAAAAAGAGAAAAAAAUAAAUGAAAAAUGCAAUAGAUAGAACCAGUGUCUAAUUAAGAGAAUUUAGAGUUGGUAAAAACCCCAUACGUGGCGGCUUGGUACUGGCUUGUACCUUUCACACACGAAGGGAAAAAAAAUUGUGCUUCUUUCGUCAUUCUGUUCUUCAAUAUUGUCGAAGUUCUGUUGUUGAUCGAUUUUGUCUCUCUCUUUCUUCGAUAAAGGAUCUUCCUGGGCUCAAACCUGAUCCAUUCAAAGGUUCUCAGUGGGAUGGUUUAGGGUUCUUCGUUCAGUACUUGUGGGUUUUUGGAAUCUUUUCGCGUUAAUCUCCGGUGGAAUUGCGGCGGGGACGUAUAACGAAGAAUCAAAGCGAAAGGUGCAACUUGAGCCUAUGGAGUCAUAGUGACUACCAUUGGAAAGUCAAUGGUGUUUUGCAACAGUUGAGAAAGUUAGGAUCUUGUUUAGAGUCAAUGUUGUUAACUUUCGUGGUGUUGGUAUGGAGGAAAAUGACGUUGGAUCAGAGCCUGGAGCUGAAGCCUUUGGUGAUCACCAAGUCGCUUGUGGCUAAGGACGAGGAUGUGGAUUUGGGGUCUGGGAUGGGUAGAGUCUCUAUCUUCUUUGGUACUCAGACUGGAACCGCUGAAGGGUUUGCUAAGGUACUCAUUAUGGGUAAAAGACUAGCUAGUUGUUAUGAUUUUGUUGUUGUUGACUUGGAUGUGGCUUCUGUUUUAUCAAAACAUUCUUAAAGUAUCUUUACAUUGUACGUUCUGAGUUACGUAGGUCUUAAAGAAAUUCUUGUUUUCUUUUUUACAUUGUAUUAGCAAUAUGGUUUACAGUUUAGUUUUUGGUGUCUCUCUCAGCUAGAAGCAAGCGAAUCAAGAUCAUCGUUGCUAGCGGUAUCAGCCUCUGUGUGUUUAUAAUCUUAGUGCUUGCAGCAUUUGUGUGUUGGAGAUACAGAUUCAAACAAAAUGGUGAGACUCUUUUGUCUCUCUUUUGUUGUCUAUUCAUACGUAGAUGUAUGGCCAAUUCUUAGAUGUGUUUCCAUGUUUUUUUUAUAAGUUAAAACUAUGACUAUAAGCUAUGAACAACCACAUUGUGCUUCUCUCUUAUUUUUCUCUGCAGUUUAAAAUUAAAAAGAAAAAUUAAUUUUUAAGAACCUCAAAAGGGUUCUGCCAUUGGACCUUCACAAAUUUAAUUACCUUACAAGAAGUUCUAAACUUCAUAAAGUACAAAAAUUACAAUUAAACUAAUCAUUAGAACCCAUUAUGGGUUCUAACCAAUGGAGAUGGUCUAAGGGAUCUUUGUCUUCCUCUUUCUCUCAAAAUCUAAUUUUCUAUUUUUUUUUUUGUUAUUCUACCAAUAAGCCCUUUUUAAAAACUAUGGACGACUGGCUAGGGGCGGAGCUAGUGCAUGGACAAUAGGGGCAUGUGCACCCUUAAUAUUAUGGAUAUUAUGCAUUUAGUAAGCAAAAUUACAAAAAAAUAGCUAGGAAAAUGGUUAGACUGAUGUUGUGCACCCACAGAUGUCUCAAGUUCGUUAUCCCUAUUGGCAUUUAUUUUAAUUUGUAUCAGAUGUGCACCCAUAGGAACUUUGUUCUAGCUUCGCCCCUGUGACUGGCCGAGGUCCUAAAUAAUCUCCAAGAGUUUUCUGGAUGGAGGUUAAACCAUGGUACCAUUUCACUUGGGCAAGCAAUGGCCAAUGGUAACUUCUAAAACUUGAAUUGAACUGAUCACUAUCGACUUACGUAUUGUUCCACAAAUUUUUCUCUUACCACCAGGUACCACUGCUUGGUUAAUACAACACCCAUUUUCUUUUGCAUUUACUUAGUUACCAUUUUACAUUCCCUUAUACCGGUUUUGAUUUAUUUGUUUGCUAUUUGUAUUUUGAUAUAACAACAUUUGAGCGAAGUUUCUGAAAUUAGAGUUAUUAUUCCUAAAUCUCAUUGAGAUUUUGAUAUAAGCAAGAAGCAUAUUAACUAUUAAGUAUUACGUAGCAUCGAUUGAGAUUUUGAUAUAAGCAAGAAGCAUAUUAACUCAGAGAUGAGCUGAAGGAAUUUUCCACUCCGGUAAACAAUCUCACUUGCUCUAAGGUACAUUUAGCCACUGGCUCCAACUAUUUUUUGACUUCAUCACCAUUAGCAGACACACAAUCUGCUCCAACUGUAGCUGAUAUUAUGGAAGAAAUUCCAUCCCCUGUUAUUGUCCUCGAGGCCAACUUGGUUUCACCGGACAAUUCUUUGGUCCCUCUAUACUCUCCUGCACAUGGCAGUCCUUCUGUUACGGCAUGUAAUGAGCAAGAUGAUGAGAGAGGAUAUAUGAGUGAUGCUACGGCAAACCUCAACAUGUCACGAGGUGGAAGGCCAAUAAAACCAGUCCAAAAGUUUCAAGAUAUGGAAUGGAAAACAGUAAGAGGAAAGGGUAAAAGGGGUCGUCGAGGCCGUGGAAACUACCCUCCAUCCUCUUAGUAGUUUCAUUUCUCUCUUGUUUCAUUAAGCUUAUGAAUCAUAAGUCUUCUCCUAUGUAAGCUAAUGCUUGGUUGAAUAUGAGGCAUGUCUCAUCAUACUUUUUCAAACUUUAUGGUUGUUUCAACCAUACAUUGUAUGUUUUUUAGUAUUUUAAUUUGAAAGCCUUUUUACAAAAAAAAAAAAGGAAGCAUAUUAACUACUCCCUCUGUUCUUUAAUCUUUAUAUAUAAAGUUGGCUUAUCUGCCCUCUCAGGCGUCCACAUCACUCUGGAGGGGCUUUGUUGCCACGUGGCUACCAGUUUUUUAGUUUUUUUGUUCGUUUGUUUUUUUAUAGUUUCUGGGCUUACAUCAUUUAUUCAAGUGGACUUAAUGAAAUCAUGAUAGGAUCCCAAAAGUCACGGCCUCCAUCUUCAAGAAUUACGACAUCCCAAAUAUAUUGUGAAAUGCAAUUGCUCUCUGCUUUUACAGCUUCCAGUUACGAGAGGAAGUUCUAAGAAGAUGAUCAGAGGAAGAAAGUCGAAGGCUUUAGUCAACUCGGCGCAAACCCAAUAUCAAUAUGACUGAGUUGCUAUUUUCACUUUUUAUCUCAGGUUAUGAAAUGAUUGAGUUUUUUUUUUCGUAGAAUGCAUCGAGAUAUUAUGUGAUCUACUGUUCGAAAUUGAGUUCAUUGUUUAAACAGAUGUGCACCUUUAGGGAUCGUAUUUGGGAAUGUGAUUAGUCAGUAGUUUUUUCAAAUAAAAUGAUCGUAUGUAGAAGAUUUGUUUUCUUUCUUAUUUUUCUUUGCUGUGUUGCAGUUCUGUUUUUUUAAAUGCAGAUUUAGUUGUAGUGAGGUCGGGAGAUUAUAAAAAGAUAUACACAUAUGGCAAAAUAAUGAGAAUUUUUUGAAAACAGCUUCGACUGCUGAGAAGGACAAUGGUGAAUGAUGAUACUGCCGUGGAUAAUUAGAUGACACUUUCUCCACUUCAGUGUUUCUGAUUCCAGCUUCUUUAUUAAGCUUCACUUUUUUCUCUUCCGGUGCAGUCCACAAGAGUGUCUGGUGGAGUACCAAUUGAAAUGCAGCUUGGUCUACUGUCUCCUCUAUAUUUGAGGAAGCUCUUUGAACUCAUGGGAACUACAUACAUUAAGCUGGGCCAGUUUAUAGCAUCUGCGCCAACUUUUUCCCCACCAGAAAAUGUCAGAAGAUUUUCAGAACCCUUCAACAAAGCUCCUCCAGUUCCGUUUGAAGAAGUUCAUAAAAUUUUGCAAGAGGAACUUGGUAGACCCAGAGACAGCGUAUACGAAUAUGUUGACCCUACACAACUUGCAUCAGCCUCAAUAGCACAAGUCCAUGAACCAUGGCGCAAGGCUUAGAGGUUAACAAGUGGAUGUCGUGAUUAAGGUCUUGAAGCCUGGAAUAAAAUAUUUCUUAGUAGCAGAUUUGAACUUUAUCAACGAUGUUGCCCGUAUACUGGUAUGAUCUCAAGUAGCUGUUGAGAAUCACGUCUCUUCUGUUUUAAUAUAGAGUUAAUGCCAAGUUAUUCUCUAAACGUAUAUCCUUACUCUUGCUUAGAAAUUCCGGAAGUGUUUUCGUUACAACCAUAUGAUCAGAGUUUUGAUGUUUUGUUAUCUUUUUUUUUUGUUGGUCUCUAUCAUAUCUAACGACAGCUCUUUUUUCUUUUGUUGGUAUUUUUUCUGCCUGAUUUCAGCUCUAUACGCUCAUAAAUGGCUUGAGUUCAAGCUUCUAGACACUGUUACAGUUUGCACGCCACCAAGUUGUUAAGGUAUCUUCUCCUUCUUUGUGUGAUUUUCAACUUUUUCUAAAACUAAUAUGCAUCCCUAUAAUGCACAUGAGGUAUGUCUUAUGAAUAUAUCAUUGGUCUUAGUCCAAGUGAUUUAGUUUGUUUAGAUGUCUAAGCUUAUAUACGUAUCUCCAUGACCAAAAAUCAGGUAUGUUCUUAAUUCUAUUUUCUCCAGAAAAAUGAGACCACUCAAAAUUGUCUCUUGAGUUGUCUUGAUCUUGAUUCUUUUAUUUUCCAGGAAACAUCAUGGUUUUUUAUGCCAUGACUCAAACCGAGACUGUCAGACGAAAAAGCAAGAAGAGAAAGAAGAAGAGCUUUUAAGGAUUAAAGAUGUUAGAGCUGGUGAAGAGGACGCUGCAACCAGUGACAAGAUCAACGAACAGAGAAGCAGAAUAACAAACCUGAUAUAGAGUUCCUGAACAGCAAGAUGAUCUUUGCAAACUUUCGGUGUAUUGUGUGCUUUGGCUUCCGCUUUGAGUAAAAUAUGUAUAUGUUUCACAAGAUUGAGUAUUCAAAGAUAUUGAUAUAUGUAGAGAGCUCAAAGAAAUCUUAGGGCUGGUCAAGAGAGAGGUACAGUGUCCACAAUAAUAUAUGAUCAUCUCGAUAAAUAGUUUGCUUGAUUAUCAAAUUGUAUCUUAGAAAACUGCAACAGUCGGGUUUUUAUAUAUUGACUUACAACUACACUUAUGUUUCACAACCAGCUAAACAUAACGCAAACUUACACUGCAUGUUUUUAGAAAUUAACAUCGAUUCUAUAAAUGGACAGACCCAACACAUAAGAAACUCAUACAGACAAUGUAACAAAUGGGCCCACGUGAAUUUAGUGAAAGGAAGAAAACUAAAAUUACCUCACCAACACAAUUAGCCCCCAAUACUGCUACCAAGCUAACAUGCAUAGCCUAAUUUCAUAAUAAUAAUCCCAUUUCUUUCGUCUCACCUCCUUCACAGAUUCAAGCUUACUAGCAUACAAAGCACUUUAUAUGCUACACCCAAUAAAUCUACAACCCACACAUAAUACAAAUAUUAAAACCAUACAACCAACCCUGAAGAUAUAUAAACACAAUACAUGUUUUACGUUCACUAAUACAAACACAGAGAAACCACAUAUUAUAUAACAAACAACAUCCCGCGGGUGUAGGAGUUAAAUGGAUCAAAAAAAGAAUUUUGAACUCAUUAAAGAAUAAAACAUACGAACCACCAUCGAACGUAUCAAAAAAAUAAUUUUACACUCAUUAAAUAAAAUAUACGAACCCGGCGCGUAGCGCCGGAAUACCACUAGUAUUACAUAUUCUAG